GCUCCGGUGGCCUAAUGGUUAGAGCGCCCGUCUCGAAUGCGGGAGGUCGUGGGUUCGAUCCCCGGUCGAGUCA
This is a non-coding RNA of Potamilus streckersoni, 73 nucleotides long. The record is from the annotation of a GenBank genome assembly. Lineage: Eukaryota; Metazoa; Mollusca; Bivalvia; Unionida; Unionidae.